UUAGAUAAUAGAUAUUAUAUCAUUAGAAAGAAUUAUUACGGCCUUGGGCUUAGAACAACGACUCAGUAAAAGUCCAAAGAUCUUAUAAAUAACAAAAAAGAGGAGGCCUAAGAGAAGCUAUAUACAUUACAACUCUAGCCCAAGGCCCAAACCACAAACCCUAGAGCAACUGAAGGAGGAAGGUAAGAACAAGCGCAGCGCCGUUGCUCAUCCCACCCUCCACCUACUGCUUGGAGAGGACCGGCCAAUAGACACAUGGAAACACCACCGAAAAGUCUUUCCCUCUAGAUACAACCUUCAAAGGCAACAGAAUAGGCCCCCAAAAGUCAAGAUCCACCAUUUUCGAUGAUCUACAAAAGAGUCGACAGCCGUAAGUCCUACAACUUUUGAGCUUUCAAGGGUCAAGUGGCCAAACAAAGUAGCCGACUAUAGGACCCCAGAGAUAACCAUCCUCACGGCCUAAAACAAGUUUGCAUCCCUGCGAGCUAAGAAAGAAAGCCUAUGAUGCGAUAGGCAAAGCUUCUAUGGGUAGCAGCACCAAGCGAACCCAUCUCUGAAUACCAUCUCAAGCCAAGAGCAGCCAAAACCGAAUCUUAGGAGACCCAAGAAAAUUACUGCUGAACUCUAAAAAAACUAACCAUCACAAGUUGAACGCUUCCUUAACAUUGAAAAAAUGACCUGCAUGCAACAAAAAAACGCAUCCUAAAAAGCCUAUGCAUAGCCCAACUUAGAGAAAGGUAAAAAAUAACCCAUCCGAGUAGGGUAUGGAGGGCCAUCCUCCAGCCGAAAUGAUAGGAAACGACCUCAAAAAUAAGCAAGAACGAG
Molecule: unclassified non-coding RNA, 825 nt
Filed under: Hevea brasiliensis (rubber tree)
Lineage: Eukaryota; Viridiplantae; Streptophyta; Magnoliopsida; Malpighiales; Euphorbiaceae
Source: RNAcentral